Molecule: ribosomal RNA, 465 nt
Filed under: Vreelandella stevensii
Lineage: Bacteria; Pseudomonadati; Pseudomonadota; Gammaproteobacteria; Oceanospirillales; Halomonadaceae
Description: partial 16S ribosomal RNA
Rfam family: Bacterial small subunit ribosomal RNA
Source: RNAcentral
CCUACGGGGGGCAGCAGUGGGGAAUAUUGGACAAUGGGGGCAACCCUGAUCCAGCCAUGCCGCGUGUGUGAAGAAGGCCCUCGGGUUGUAAAGCACUUUCAGUGAGGAAGAACGCCUGGUGGUUAAUACCCAUCAGGAAAGACAUCACUCACAGAAGAAGCACCGGCUAACUCCGUGCCAGCAGCCGCGGUAAUACGGAGGGUGCGAGCGUUAAUCGGAAUUACUGGGCGUAAAGCGCGCGUAGGUGGCUUGAUAAGCCGGUUGUGAAAGCCCCGGGCUCAACCUGGGAACGGCAUCCGGAACUGUCAAGCUAGAGUGCAGGAGAGGAAGGUAGAAUUCCCGGUGUAGCGGUGAAAUGCGUAGAGAUCGGGAGGAAUACCAGUGGCGAAGGCGGCCUUCUGGACUGACACUGACACUGAGGUGCGAAAGCGUGGGUAGCAAACAGGAUUAGAGACCCCAGUAGUC